GACGAACGCUGGCGGCGUGCCUAAUACAUGCAAGUAGGACGCAGUUGCGAACGGGUGAGUAACGCGUAUGUAACUACCUAUUAGAGGGGGAUAACUAUUGGAAACGAUAGCUAAUACCGCAUACUAGUAGAUGGACCUGCGUUGUAUUAGCUAGUAGGUAGGGUAAUGGCCUACCUAGGCAACGAUACAUAGCCGACCCUGGGGGGGGAUCCGCCACCCUGGGACUGGGACAACGCCCCGGCUCCUACCGGAGGGAGCAGUAGGGGAACUUUGGCAAUGGGGGGAAACCUGACCGAGCAACGCCGCGGGGGUGAAGAAGGUUUUCGGAUCGUAAAGCUCUGUUGUUAAGGAAGCGGUACUUAACCAGAAAGGGACGGCUAACUACGUGCCAGCAGCCGCGGUAAUAC
RNAcentral lists this ribosomal RNA (407 nucleotides) under uncultured bacterium. RNAcentral describes it as "partial 16S ribosomal RNA". It matches the Rfam family "Bacterial small subunit ribosomal RNA", at positions 28 to 526 of the family's 1533-position model. The record is from RNAcentral.